RNAcentral lists this long non-coding RNA (239 nucleotides) under Homo sapiens (human). Its description in RNAcentral is "non-protein coding lnc-ROBO2-12:1". The record is from RNAcentral. Lineage: Eukaryota; Metazoa; Chordata; Mammalia; Primates; Hominidae.
CCUGCCCAGCUCCCUCGUUAGGUCUAGGCAUUUUAAUCAAAUUAUCUGCUUCCCUGACUAUUCCUGGACUACAGCCACACCUCAUUGUUGCCCUUCUUCCCAACCCAAAGCCUCCUUCUUCAGGAUCUGCGCCUUAUCAACCAAAUUGUUUUGCCUAUUCACCCUGUGGUGCCCAAACCGUACACUCUCCUAUCCUCAAUACCUCCCUCCACAACCCAUUAUUCUGUUCUGGACCUCUU